AUAAGAUCGAGCGACUCAGAGAACACGUGUAUCGAGCGACGACUGCCGUCGUCGUGGGAUGGCCGGCCCGGUCGUUGCCCUCUUUUCCUGUAUGGGUAGGGCAGGGCACGGCCAGGGGCGGAUGAAAGCACAAACCGGCGCAGCAUCGCGCCAAGGAAUAAUUCAAAGGCACGAGCCCCGCGUGGAGCUCGGUGGCGUGGGGUGCUUCGGCACGUCCCGCGGUUGGACAUGACUCUCGGCAAUGGAUAUCUCGGCUCUCGCAUCGAUGAAGAGCGCAGCGAAAUGCGAUACGUGGUGCGAAUUGCAGAAUCCCGCGAACCAUCGAGUCUUUGAACGCAAGUUGCGCCCGAGGCCGUCAGGCCAAGGGCACGUCCGCCUGGGCGUCAAGCGUUGCGUCGCUCCGUGCCACAGCUCCGACCGCAUCGUGGUGUGGAGUAUGAGGCUCGGAUGUGCAGAGUGGCUCGUCGUGCCCAUCGGUGCGGCGGGUUGAAGAAAGGGCAACGUCUCGCAGGCCGCGAACAACAAGGGGUGGGUGAAUGCUGCGAGCACAACCUGCGUUGUCUCGUGUUGGCCCGAGAGACGGUUCGCGCCUUCAAGGUGAUCCCGACCCAGGUACCGAUCCGCAUGCGGGCGGUGUCUUG
Molecule: ribosomal RNA, 641 nt
Filed under: Galeandra styllomisantha
Lineage: Eukaryota; Viridiplantae; Streptophyta; Magnoliopsida; Asparagales; Orchidaceae
Description: eukaryotic LSU rRNA
Rfam family: 5.8S ribosomal RNA (bases 231-386)
Source: RNAcentral